GGAGAGCUGGCAGCCAAAGCUGCAGAAGGGCACUUAGGGCAGAGUGGGUCCCGAGGCCCCCCGCUGGAAGGAGGGCGUGGCAAGGGUUUUGCUGGGGCUUUUGGAGGCUAGAGCUCGCGCCAGGACGGGAGGCAAGGGGGUGGAAGUCAGAACCCGAGAGAGCCAAGUUACUCCUAGGUGAACGCGCUGGGCAGAGAAAUAUGUAAAUCAGGAUUCCCCGUGCCCUCGAGAGUGGCGCAAUUACGCCCCCAGAGCAAGAAGCAACAAGCUCCCGGCGGGUGAGCUGCGGAGGGUGGCGGUGUCGCGGGGGAGGGAGCGGCUGCAGCAAGGCUGUGGGGGUGGGAACCUCACACCCUCACACCUAGUUCCCUGUGCCCCGGAGCCGGGGCUCCCCCCUCCGCCCGUCGCUUCUCUCCCUUCCCCCUUUCCUCCCCCUGCCUCCCCCUCCCUCCUCCUCCCUGCCGGCCUCGGUCCGCGUACUUAAAGCAGCGCGGGCGGGCGGACGCGGGCGGGCGGCCCGGUCGGGCGGUGGCAGAUGCGCCCAGCGGUGGCAGCCGCCGGCGGCGCGCAGGUGACCGGCCUGCUGCACAGCCUAGUCAGGGGGCGCCCGGGAGAGCUGGCGGGAGAAGGAGGCAGAUCCGCCCCCAGCGCGCGCGCGUCUCGGCGCCAGGAGCCGUCCCGGGGCGUGUUGGCGAGUGCUGAUAUAGAUAUAAGGACAUUUCUCUCCAUGGCGUCACGUGACAUAAUUACCACCAGAAUCAAUCAAGAUGAAUUGCACGUCAGCGCCCGGUGGGGAUUUUUGCUUAGUUGAUCCUGGCCCAAGCCUCUUGUGCAAUCGAUGGCUCAGGUUGGCGGCGCGGGGAGCGGCCCGGGGCUCGCCGGCGUGCACGCCGCGGAGCCAUGAACGACUUUGACGAGUGCGGCCCGAGCGCAGCCAGCAUGUACCUUCCCGGCUGCGCCUACUAUGUGGCCCCGUCGGACUUCGCUAGCAAGCCAUCAUUCCUUUCGCAGCCGUCGUCCUGCCAAAUGACUUUCCCUUACUCUUCCAACCUGGCGCCACACGUCCAGCCGGUGCGCGAAGUGGCCUUCCGCGACUACGGCCUGGAGCGCGCCAAGUGGCCGUACCGUGGCGGUGGCGGCGGUGGCGGCGCAGGGGGCGGUGGCGGCGGGGGCGGCCCUGGCGGGGGCGGCGGCAGCGCCGGGGGCUACGCUCCCUACUACGCGGCGGCUGCGGCGGCGGCGGCGGCGGCGGCGGCGGCCGAGGAGGCAGCCAUGCAGCGGGAGCUGCUCCCGCCCGCGGGCCGCCGGCCAGACGUGCUCUUCAAGGCGCCCGAGCCGGUGUGCGCCGCGCCCGGGCCGCCGCACGGGCCUCCAGGCGCCGCCUCUAACUUCUACAGCGCCGUGGGUCGCAAUGGCAUCCUGCCGCAGGGCUUCGACCAGUUCUACGAGGCAGCCCCAGGACCCCCCUUCGCCGGGCCGCAAGCUCCGCCGCCGGCGCCGGCGCCGCAGCAGCCCGAGGGCGCUGCCGACAAGGGCGACCCCAAGAGCGGGGCUGCUAGCGGCGGGGGCAGUCCCUGCGCCAAGGCCACCCCCGGCUCAGAGCCCAAGGGGGCAGUGGAAGGCGGCGGCGGUGGCGGCGAGGGCGAGGGCCCUCCGGGGGAGGCGGGGACCGAGAAGAGCGGCGGCGCAGUGGCCCCCCAGCGGUCCCGGAAAAAGCGCUGUCCCUACACCAAGUACCAGAUCCGCGAACUGGAACGCGAGUUUUUCUUUAACGUGUACAUAAACAAAGAGAAAAGACUCCAACUCUCUCGGAUGCUCAACCUCACUGACCGGCAAGUCAAAAUAUGGUUCCAGAAUCGCAGGAUGAAAGAAAAAAAACUGAACAGAGACCGUCUGCAGUAUUUCACUGGAAACCCCUUGUUUUGAGAGCUCCAGGAAGCGCCCCCUACCCCGAGCCCCACUCGCCCACCUUCCUCCCCUCCGGCUUGCCCAGCGCAGGCCCAAUGUCCUUGGCUUUAGUGACGCCUCUUCUCUGUGGAACUUCACGAUUCCUUCCCACGGCGAACUCGGGACCUCCCAGCGACCACUGCAUCCUGCGGACCAGGCCGGGGACUUGGCCGAGCGGAUCCUAAUAAGGGGAAAAUGUGGGAUUUUGGUGACUUCUGGCUGGCGAGCCAUCGUCGUCAGAGGCUAGGUUGAAGCUAGUCUUGCCCACCUGGAAACUGCCGGGGCCUUCAUUCCAGGAGCAAGGACAAAGCAGCAGCUUAGGAUGGCAUCGGAUGCGAUUCUGGCCCCCUUUUCCUCAUCCCCAUCCCUAUUCCAAGCACAAGCAAGCCCAGGCCCCAGAGAAGCCAAGGAUGGGAACAAUCCCACAUAGGUGCUCCGAGAGUCUUCAAGGACUCUCAAUAUUUAUUCAGGAUUGUAAACUUCACCCCGAAAAAACAAGAACUUCCCAAGUCCUCCUUUAGAACCUUCUGAGGAUGUAAUUUUCUGGAGAUGGGGUAGGAAUAGAGUCAGAGAGAUCAGCUUCAGUGCUAGGUGAGGCAACCCUGGAGAAGAUUCACCCCAGACUUCGAGUGAUUGGGUCAAAGAAUCAGGGUCGUGUUAAUCUAGCCGUUUCUGCCAGCUUCGCAGGGAGCGCCAUUAGUUGUUGAUAGGGGGCUCAUGGC
This is an RNA transcript of Ochotona princeps (American pika), 2669 nucleotides long. It is a transcript of the gene named homeobox D11, with no coding region annotated. NCBI's taxonomy places the organism in Eukaryota, Metazoa, Chordata, Mammalia, Lagomorpha, Ochotonidae. The transcript has 4 exons. The record is from RefSeq and is a predicted model, not a curated record.